RNAcentral lists this ribosomal RNA (335 nucleotides) under Bdellovibrionales bacterium. RNAcentral's name for it is "bacterial SSU rRNA". It matches the Rfam family "Bacterial small subunit ribosomal RNA", at positions 1 to 336 of the family's 1533-position model. Lineage: Bacteria; Pseudomonadati; Bdellovibrionota; Bdellovibrionia; Bdellovibrionales. The record is from RNAcentral.
UUUGUGGAGAGUUUGAUUCUGGCUCAGGACGAACGCUGGCGGCGUGCCUAAUACAUGCAAGUCGAACGAGAAAGCUCCUUCGGGAGCAAGUACAGUGGCGCACGGGUGAGUAACGCGUGGAUAAUCUGUCCUCAGGUGGGGAAUAUCCAGUCGAAAGAUUGGUUAAUACCGCAUAAUAUCCCUUUAUCUCAGGAUAAAGGGAUCAAAGAUUUAUCGCCUAAGGAGGAGUCCGCGUCCGAUUAGCCUGUUGGUGAGGUAAUGGUUCACCAAAGCUAUGAUCGGUAGCUGGUCUGAGAGGAUGAUCAGCCACACUGGGACUGAGACACGGCCCAGAC